Molecule: ribosomal RNA, 497 nt
Filed under: uncultured bacterium
Lineage: Bacteria
Description: partial 16S ribosomal RNA
Rfam family: Bacterial small subunit ribosomal RNA
Source: RNAcentral
GAUGAACGCUGGCGGUGUGCCUAACACAUGCAAGUCGAGCGAACAGACGAGGAGCUCUUUCUCCUGCCGUUAGCGGCGGACGGGCGAGUAACAAGUGCAUCACCUUCUUCUUUGUCUUGGAUAAUUUCGGGAAACCGGUGCCACUGAUGCAUCAUACAACCUACCGCAUGGAUCAAUAGAGCUUCAGGGCUUUGCCGUUUGUUUUAGCUGGUUUCGCGCCGCAUUAGCUAGUUGGUAAGGUAACGGCUUACCAAGGCUACGAUGCGUAGCCGACCUGAGAGGGUGAUCAGCCACACUGGAACUGAGACACGGUCCAGACUCCUACGGGAGGCAGCAGUAGGGAAUCUUCCGCAAUGGGCGAAAGCCUGACGGAGCAACGCCGCGUGAGUGAUGAAGGUCUUCGGAUCGUAAAGCUCUGUUAUUAGGGAAGAACAGAUGUAUAAGUAACUAUGCACGUCUUGACGGUACCUAAUCAGAAAGCCACGGCUAACUACGUG